AUGUCGCGAGAGUUCACCAGGCCUACAACCGCCAAAGAAAGGUUACUUUUCCCGGAAGUAACGUCAAUCGAAACCGCUGGGGAUCCUGGGUACCUUCGUUGCUGCAAGCUGGAGAUGCGGCAGGAGGCGCUGAGGGCCAGGGGCGGGAGCACGGCGGCAGCUGUGGCCGGUGGAGCUCCCCGUGUCACGCGGGCGCCACACACCCCAUGUCCGGGCGGAGACGCAGUGCCUGCGGCCAGAAGGCCAGGAAUUCAACCAUACAUAUUCGCCCUCAGCGUGCCCUUCCCGACCCCUUUGGAGGCGGAAAUCGCCCAUGGGUCCCUGGCUCCAGAUGCCGAACCCCACCGAAGGGCGGUUGGGAAGGAUCUUACAGUGAGUGGCCGUAUCCUUGCGGUCCGCUGGAAAGCUGAAGACUCUCGCCUGCUCCGAAUUUCCAUCAUCAACUUCCUUGACCAGCUUUCCCUGGUGGUGCGGACCAUGCAGCGCUUGGGGCCUCCUGUUUCUCGCUAAGCCUAGGCUGGGAAAAGGAGCGGAGGUCUGACCUUGUGUCUCCUAGGAAGUGUAUCGUUCCUUAGGGCAAAGAUUCCCACAGCAGUUGCUACUUUAGUGUGGGGGCCUAAGGUUUGCCUGUAUCGGCUCUUGGGUGCUCAGGGUGCCCUUGCCCUUGUUUUGUUUGGUGGUUAAAUGUUU
RNA transcript from Propithecus coquereli (Coquerel's sifaka), 690 nucleotides. It is a transcript of the gene named EKC/KEOPS complex subunit LAGE3 pseudogene, with no coding region annotated. The transcript has 2 exons. NCBI's taxonomy places the organism in Eukaryota, Metazoa, Chordata, Mammalia, Primates, Indriidae. The record is from RefSeq and is a predicted model, not a curated record.